GCGAGUGAAGCGGGAAGAGCACAAAUUUAAAAUCUACCUGGUUUCCAGGUCGAGUUGUAAUUUGAAGAAACGUUUUUGACGUUCCGGGUUGGAAUAAAUCCUUUGGGAUAAGGUAUCAUGGAGGGUGAGAAUCCCGUGUACACCAACCGCAGGGAUGUUAUUUAAUACGUUUUCUAAGAGUCGAGUUGUUUGGGAAUGCAGCUCUAAAUGGGUGGUAAAUUUCACCUAAUGCUAAAUAUAAGCGAGAGACCGAUAGCGAACAAGUACCGUGAGGGAAAGAUGAAAAGAACUUUGAAAAGAGAGUUAAAUAGUACGUGAAAUUGUUGAAAGGGAAACGAUUGAAGUCAGUCAUGCUGGCGGGAAUCAAUUUAGGGGAAACUCUAAGUGCACUUCACGCUUGGCAGGUCAGCGUCGAUUUUAGAUGUCAUAAAAUGAUUGGGGGAAGGUAGCUCCUUCGGGAGUGUUAUAGCCCUUGGUAGAUGUGAUGUCUGGGAUCGAGGAUUGCAACGGAUACCCUUUGGCUAGCCGCCUGAUCUCUAACUGAUAUUGGGUUACGGACAGCACGCUGACCGUGAUCUAAUUAUUGGUUAAAAGGUUAGAGCGAGUGUAAAUUCGUUAAGGACGC
RNAcentral lists this ribosomal RNA (625 nucleotides) under Dentiscutata nigra. Its description in RNAcentral is "partial large subunit ribosomal RNA". It matches the Rfam family "Eukaryotic large subunit ribosomal RNA", at positions 89 to 626 of the family's 3401-position model. Lineage: Eukaryota; Fungi; Glomeromycota; Glomeromycetes; Diversisporales; Gigasporaceae. The record is from RNAcentral.